RNAcentral lists this small RNA (159 nucleotides) under Sinorhizobium meliloti 2011. RNAcentral's name for it is "putative ncRNA". Lineage: Bacteria; Pseudomonadati; Pseudomonadota; Alphaproteobacteria; Hyphomicrobiales; Rhizobiaceae. The record is from RNAcentral.
GGCUGCGGAUUCGCACUUGCUUUGAAUUGCCGCCUUGGUGUCUGUUUCUUAACAAUUUUGCUUCUAUCGUAACGUAUUGGCAAAAAAGGCGGUAAGCCGGCAAUGCGGAAGUUAAAUCGCCAUUAAGUUCCGUCACGCGGACGGCCCCAGUUCGAGGCU